This 255-nucleotide ribosomal RNA is filed under the name uncultured bacterium. RNAcentral describes it as "partial 16S ribosomal RNA". It matches the Rfam family "Bacterial small subunit ribosomal RNA", at positions 524 to 776 of the family's 1533-position model. The record is from RNAcentral.
UACAGAGGGUGCGAGCGUUAAUCGGAAUUACUGGGCGUAAAGCGCGCGUAGGCGGCUUUUCAAGUCGAUUGUGAAAUCCCCGGGUCUUAACCUGGGAACUGCAGUCGAGACUGUCUAGCUAGAGUAUGGGAGAGGGAAGUGGAAUUCAGGUGUAGCGGUGAAAGUGCGUAGAUAUCGAGAGGAACACCUGCGGCGAAGGCGGGUGCUGGGCUGAUACUGACGCUGAGGCGCGAAAAGCUAGGGGGAGCGAACGGG